GAUGAACGCUAGCUACAGGCUUAACACAUGCAAGUCGAGGGGAAACGAUAGAGAAAGCUUGCUUUUUCUAGGCGUCGACCGGCGCACGGGUGAGUAACGCGUAUCCAACCUGCCCAUCACUUGGGGAUAACCUUGCGAAAGUAAGACUAAUACCCAAUGACGUCUCUAGAAGACAUCUGAAAGAGAUUAAAGAUUUAUCGGUGAUGGAUGGGGAUGCGUCUGAUUAGCUUGUUGGCGGGGUAACGGCCCACCAAGGCGACGAUCAGUAGGGGGUCUGAGAGAAAGGUCCCCCACAUUGGAACUGAGACACGGUCCAAACUCCUACGGAAGGCAGCAGUGAGGAAUAUUGGUCAAUGGGCGAGAGCCUGAACCAGCCAAGUAGCGUGCAGGAUGACGGCCCUAUGGGUUGUAAACUGCUUUUAUAAGGGAAUAAAGUGAGUCUCGUGAGACUUUUUGCAUGUACCUUAUGAAUAAGGACCGGCUAAUUCCGUGCCAGCAGCCGCCGUAA
RNAcentral lists this ribosomal RNA (508 nucleotides) under uncultured bacterium. RNAcentral describes it as "partial 16S ribosomal RNA". It matches the Rfam family "Bacterial small subunit ribosomal RNA", at positions 28 to 523 of the family's 1533-position model. The record is from RNAcentral.